RNAcentral lists this non-coding RNA (1241 nucleotides) under Caenorhabditis japonica. RNAcentral's name for it is "Eukaryotic large subunit ribosomal RNA". It matches the Rfam family "Eukaryotic large subunit ribosomal RNA", at positions 610 to 1786 of the family's 3401-position model. The record is from Rfam by way of RNAcentral. Lineage: Eukaryota; Metazoa; Nematoda; Chromadorea; Rhabditida; Rhabditidae.
GUGUGUGACGUCGGUGUGAAAGUCGACGACGUUUCCGACCCGUCUGAAACACGGAUUACGGAGUGUUUGUCUGCUGCGAGUCAAAGGGUGUAAAAACCUUGCGGCGCAAUGAAAGUGAAGGUUAGUCUCGAACUGACCGACGUGGGAUCCGUGCUCUUCGGAGUGCGGCGCACCACGGCCCUAUGCGUGUCACUUGUGACUGUGUAGAGGUUGAGCAGUAGGCAAGCGACCCGAAAGAUGGUGAACUAUGCCUGAGCAGGAUGAAGCCAGAGGAAACUCUGGUGGAAGUCCGUAUCGGUUCUGACGUGCAAAUCGAUCGAUAGACUUGGGUAUAGGGGCGAAAGACUAAUCGAACCAUCUAGUAGCUGGUUCCUUCCGAAGUUUCCCUCAGGAUAGCUGGAACUCUUGCAGUUAUAUUCGGUAAAGCUAAUGAUUAGAGGCCUUGGGGACGUAAUGUCCUCAACCUAUUCUCAAACUUUCAAUGGAUAUGGCGUCGCAGUUUCUUUAGUGAACUGCGGCGUGAAUGCGAGUUCCAAGUGGGCCAUUUUUGGUAAGCAGAACAGGCGCUGUGGGAUGAACCAAACGUGGAGUUAAGGUGCCUAACUUCUCGCUUAUGAGACCCCAUAAAAGGUGUUGGUUGAUAUUGACAGCAGGACGGUGGCCAUGGAAGUCGGUACCCGCUAAGGAGUGUGUAACAACUCACCUGCCGAAUCAACUAGCCCUGAAAAUGGAUGGCGCUUAAGCGAGAGACCUAUACUCCGCCGUCGCGGCAUGUGCGUUGUCUAGCGCCAGGUCGCGACGAGUAGGAAGGACGUGGCGGUUGCGUUGAAGGCUAUGAGCGUAGGCUCGGCUGGAGCUUCCGUCAGUGCAGAUCGUAAUGGUAGUAGCAAAUAUUCAAGUUCGAUCCUUGAAGACUGAAGUGGAGAAGGGUUCCACGUGAACAGUAGUUGGAUGUGGGUCAGUCGAUCCUAAGGUACUGGCGAAAGCCUUGUAUCAUCGGUGGCGAAAAGCUUGCUUUUUGUCCCCGCCCGUCGAAAGGGAAUAGGGUUAAUAUUCCCUAACUGAGAUGCAAAGAUUGUGUUCUUCGGAGCACAAGCGCGGUAACGCGUUCGAACUUGGUAAGUCGCUCAGAGACCGAGCUAGAGUUUUCUUCUCUAGUUAAGGAACGGACUCCCUGGAAUUGGUUCAGCCAGAGAUGGGGACGUUGUUUCCGAAAAGCACCGCGGUUUCUGUGGUGUCUC